This 496-nucleotide ribosomal RNA is filed under the name uncultured bacterium. RNAcentral's name for it is "partial 16S ribosomal RNA". It matches the Rfam family "Bacterial small subunit ribosomal RNA", at positions 29 to 507 of the family's 1533-position model. The record is from RNAcentral.
AUGAACGCUGGCGGCGUGCCUAAUACAUGCAAGUCGAGCGAACAGACGAGGAGCUUGCUCCUCUGACGUUAGCGGCGGACGGGUGAGUAACACGUGGAUAACCUACCUAUAAGACUGGGAUAACUUCGGGAAACCGGAGCUAAUACCGGAUAAUAUAUUGAACCGCAUGGUUCAAUAGUGAAAGACGGUUUUGCUGUCACUUAUAGAUGGAUCCGCGCCGCAUUAGCUAGUUGGUAAGGUAACGGCUUACCAAGGCGACGAUGCGUAGCCGACCUGAGAGGGUGAUCGGCCACACUGGAACUGAGACCCGGUCCAGACUCCUACGGGAGGCAGCAGUAGGGAAUCUUCCGCAAUGGGCGAAAGCCUGACGGAGCAACGCCGCGUGAGUGAUGAAGGUCUUCGGAUCGUAAAACUCUGUUAUUAGGGAAGAACAAAUGUGUAAGUAACUAUGCACGUCUUGACGGUACCUAAUCAGAAAGCCACGGCUAACUACGUG